GGAGCGGUAGCUCAGCACGGUUAGAGCGCUAGCCUGUCACGCUAGAGGCCGCGGGUUCAAGUCCCGUCCGCUCCGCCA
RNAcentral lists this transfer RNA (78 nucleotides) under Armatimonadota bacterium. RNAcentral describes it as "Armatimonadetes bacterium (activated sludge metagenome) tRNA-Asp". It matches the Rfam family "tRNA". From Rfam's summary of the family: Transfer RNA (tRNA) molecules are approximately 80 nucleotides in length. Their secondary structure includes four short double-helical elements and three loops (D, anti-codon, and T loops). The record is from RNAcentral. Lineage: Bacteria; Bacillati; Armatimonadota.